AGGAUGAAUGCUGGCGCGGCGCCUAACGACGAUGCAAGUCGAGCGGAAAGGCCCUUCGGGGUACUCGAGCGGCGGACGGCUGAGUAACGCGUGGGAACAUGCCCCAAAGUGAGGAAUAACUGCCCGAAAGGGUAGCUAAUGCCGCAUAUGAUCUUCGGAUUAAAGGAUUUAUCCGCUUUGGGAGUGGCCCGCGUACGAUUAGGUAGUUGGUGAGGUAAAGGCUCACCAAGCCCACGAUCGUUAACUGGUCUGAGAGGAUGAUCAGUCAGACUGGAACUGAGACACGGUCCAGACUCCUACGGGAGGCAGCAGUGAGGAAUCUUCCACAAUGGGCGAAAGCCUGAUGGAGCGACGCCGCGUGCAGGAUGAAGGCCUUCGGUUGUAACUGCUUUUAUAGUGAAGAAUAUGACGGUAACUUAUGAAUAAGCACCGGCUAACUACGCGCCAGCAGCCGC
Molecule: ribosomal RNA, 455 nt
Filed under: uncultured bacterium
Lineage: Bacteria
Description: SSU rRNA
Rfam family: Bacterial small subunit ribosomal RNA
Source: RNAcentral